RNAcentral lists this ribosomal RNA (253 nucleotides) under uncultured bacterium. RNAcentral's name for it is "partial 16S ribosomal RNA". It matches the Rfam family "Bacterial small subunit ribosomal RNA", at positions 524 to 776 of the family's 1533-position model. The record is from RNAcentral.
UACAGAGACUGCAAGCGUUGUUCGGAUUCAUUGGGCGUAAAGGGUGCGCAGGCGGUGUGUUAAGUCGGAUGUGAAAUCUCAAAGCCUAACUUUGAUGGGUCAUUCGAAACUAGCACGCUAGAGGACUGGAGAGGAGACUGGAAUGGUCGGUGUAGCGGUGAAAUGCGUAGAGAUCGACCAGAACACCGGUGGCGAAGGCGGGUCUCUGGACAGUUCCUGACGCUCAGGCACGAAAGCCAGGGGAGCAAACGGG